This 253-nucleotide ribosomal RNA is filed under the name uncultured bacterium. RNAcentral's name for it is "partial 16S ribosomal RNA". It matches the Rfam family "Bacterial small subunit ribosomal RNA", at positions 524 to 776 of the family's 1533-position model. The record is from RNAcentral.
UACAGAGGGUGCAAGCGUUGUUCGGAAUUAUUGGGCGUAAAGAGCUCGUAGGCGGCUCGUCGCGUCGACCGUGAAAACCCGCGGCUUAACUGCGGGCUUGCGGUUGAUACGGGCGGGCUAGAGUUCGGUAGGGGAGACUGGAAUUCCUGGUGUAGCGGUGAAAUGCGCAGAUAUCAGGAGGAACACCGGUGGCGAAGGCGGGUCUCUGGGCCGAUACCGACGCUGAGGAGCGAAAGCGUGGGGAGCGAACAGG